AAUACGUUCCCGGACCUUGCACACACCGCCCGUCAAGCCAUGGAAGCUGGGUGUACCUAAAGUCGGUAACCGUAAGGAGCUGCCUAGGGUAAAACUAGUGACUGGGGCU
This 109-nucleotide ribosomal RNA is filed under the name uncultured bacterium. RNAcentral's name for it is "partial 16S ribosomal RNA". It matches the Rfam family "Bacterial small subunit ribosomal RNA", at positions 1365 to 1482 of the family's 1533-position model. The record is from RNAcentral.